ACGCUCGACACCUACGGGAGGCGGCAGUAGGGAAUCUUCCACAAUGGACGCAAGUCUGAUGGAGCAACGCCGCGUGAGUGAAGAAGGUCUUCGGAUCGUAAAACUCUGUUGUUAGAGAAGAACACGAGUGAGAGUAACUGUUCAUUCGAUGACGGUAUCUAACCAGCAAGUCACGGCUAACUACGUGCUAGCAGCCGCGGUAAUCUGAGCGGGCUGGCAAGGC
RNAcentral lists this ribosomal RNA (223 nucleotides) under uncultured bacterium. RNAcentral's name for it is "partial 16S ribosomal RNA". It matches the Rfam family "Bacterial small subunit ribosomal RNA", at positions 328 to 539 of the family's 1533-position model. The record is from RNAcentral.